AUCAGAGUUUUCACUGUAGGUGAGAAAUCUGGCCCAGAGUUGACCACCCAGAGCCACAAGGACCAAUGAAAAGCGACCACCCAGAUACUGAUUUUCCACCAGGCUCAAAUCGGAGUUCCGGUAGUAGACUUGCGUUGUCUUGAGACUGUUGAAUGCAGAUCAUCCAUGUAUGCAUUGCAACACGCAAGUACGAAUUCCUGUAUCUUCCGGCUUCCACAGAAAUCUUUUUGUAUAUCGAGUUCUAAGUGCAAUUGGUAAGUCAGAAGACUACACAGAACUUAAUCUAUUGUGGAUAUUUUGGCAGAAUUAGCUUAUUUAGAGAGCUGUGCAUAUAUAGCUCAGGUGGGUAAUACAGAACAUACAGAAUGCUAGAUAGUGGGGAGGAAGCAAUCUUUCCUACCCAGCUUUUUGCCAUGUAUUAGGUACAUGUAGAUUUUCUCUUAGAUAAUAUGAGAAAUAGAAUGUGAAAGUAGUUGUAUGCAGCUCUUGGCAAUCUGUAGCACCGUUUCUGGUAAAAUUUUGUAGCAGUUAUAGACUUCUAGCCAUUGUAAUGCUCUGUUCACUUUCUCAGUGUGGCAUGAGUGGAAGAUCUUUUUCUUGCUAAGAAAUGCAGUCAGUUCACAUCAGGACCACUGAUUCUUUGCUGACUCUUCACUGGACUCAAACUCUUUUACUUUGUGACUAACAAAUGUGUCAAUGUUUAUAUAACAACGUAGGAGUGUUCAUCAGGAAAACUACCCUGCUUCAGAAGUCCUGCUUUUCCUUUGCCUUAGCAGGUCUAAGAUACAAGUCAGACGGGUAGGAUGUAUUAAAUGGCUGUUUUGUAGGUGGCUUUGGCAAAGUGAGUUUAAGCAUUUCUAUAGGAGUAUCGUGGUAUUUACACCAUAUGCUUGUUGACAUCUCUGAAUGUUUCUUCCCCCCAGAUUUAUUUUCUGUUUCCAUGGUAGUCUAGGGAUUGUGAUUGUUCUGGUGAUCAUUGCUCCUGGAGUGAUGUUGACUCUGCAGGAGGACAUCCAAGAACUCUGCAGAUGGUGGUCUAGAGUGUGUCAUAUGAAUGAGUAUUCAGAUAACCUACAUCAUGGAUUUCUGGUCAACCACUGGAAUCUAUGGACUACCUCAUGCUAUCCUGUAGCCUACAUAUAUUGCCUGUCCUUCGGAAGAAGUAUGUGACAGAUCUUUUUGGGGAGCUCUACACAAAUGUAAAUAAUAGUGGAGGCAUUUUCCAUUUCUGUGACUCUACAAGCAGAUACUUUAGCGCCAACUGUAAAGAAAAAUGGCUCUGAACAUCUAGAAAGCCUCUAAAAAACCUACAACUUGUUCUGUGUUGUAUUUCUGAGUUCUGGGAGAAUGGAAUCAUCUUUUCAAAAUUUGUAGUCUUGCAGAGCCAUGCUGUAACAGAAACGAACUUUUUUGCAUAUUGAAUGUCCAUUGCUGCAUCAGGACUGAAUAAUGCCUCUUCUUGUCGCCCCUAAACAAACGAUUUCUUUUUGAAAUUUUGUAAGAAGAACUUCUAAGCAAGAAGUGGGAAAUACUUCUUUUAUAUUUGAUUUUUUUUUUUAAAAAGUGACAGCUAUGUUAAGCUUCUCAGAGCUUUGAAAAAGCUGGAACUAGAACACGUGAACAGUCACACAUAUAACAUUAUUUCUGCUGUCUACACAAGGAUUUGCCUCUAAAUCACGUUUAUAAGAAGGAAAAAGCAGGAUAUUGAAAUAUAGAUGCAUAAAAAUUAACAAUACACAUUUUCAAAACUUGUGUAUAUUUUUUAUAUACGGAUUCACAGACCUGAAACUUUACAAAAUCCCACCAGCUGAAUAACACUAAGAAUUACAACCCACAUGCCUGCAGUACAGUGAAAUUUCAUGUGUCCAGGACUGCAUUCGUAUAUUAAAUAUUUAAAUGUACAUACAUAUAUAUGCUACGUUGUUGUUUAUUUUUCUCCGGCUAAACUGCACCAAAGACUUUAAAGAAAUCAAGCUAUAGAGUUGCAGAGAACAAAUUCUGCCUACAUCAAUGCGCUAUUUAGCACUGAUGUGCUGCAGAAGGCACAAGAGAAUAUUCUUCCUGCAUCUCCUGAGAAAGCAUCCAUUUGCUAAGUCAUCUCUAAAUGAAGCUUCAGAAUUUAUGAACUUUUAUUAAAGCUGUCUCUGCUUAAUACUGCUUCCACAAUCUG
Molecule: long non-coding RNA, 2170 nt
Filed under: Struthio camelus australis
Lineage: Eukaryota; Metazoa; Chordata; Aves; Struthioniformes; Struthionidae
Description: lncRNA (ENSSCUG00000017192.1)
Source: RNAcentral